AUUGAACGCUGGCGGAAUGCUUUACACAUGCAAGUCGAGCGGCAGCGCGGCCUUCGGGCUGGCGGCGAGCGGCGAACGGGUGAGUAAUGCAUCGGAACAUGCCCAGUCGUGGGGGAUAACACUUCGAAAGAAGUGCUAAUACCGCAUACGUCCUGAGGGUGAAAGCGGGGGAUCGCAAGACCUCGCGCGAUUGGAUUGGCCGAUGUCAGAUUAGCUAGUUGGUGGGGUAAAGGCCUACCAAGGCGACGAUCUGUAGCUGGUCUGAGAGGAUGAUCAGCCACACUGGGACUGAGACACGGCCCAGAAUCCUACGGGAGGCAGCAGUGGGGAAUUUUGGACAAUGGGGGCAACCCUGAUCCAGCCAUUCCGCGUGAGUGAAGAAGGCCUUCGGGUUGUAAAGCUCUUUCGGCAGGAACGAAACGGUGGGCUCUAACAUAGUCCGCUAAUGACGGUACCUGAAGAAGAAGCACCGGCUAACUACGUG
RNAcentral lists this ribosomal RNA (484 nucleotides) under uncultured bacterium. RNAcentral's name for it is "partial 16S ribosomal RNA". It matches the Rfam family "Bacterial small subunit ribosomal RNA", at positions 30 to 507 of the family's 1533-position model. The record is from RNAcentral.